Puntigrus tetrazona (Sumatra barb) is the source of this 1411-nucleotide long non-coding RNA. RefSeq lists it as uncharacterized. The transcript has 3 exons. The record is from RefSeq and is a predicted model, not a curated record. Lineage: Eukaryota; Metazoa; Chordata; Actinopteri; Cypriniformes; Cyprinidae.
GCGGGAGAAACAACUGGCGCGCUUUUUCUUAGCGUCGGUUUCCAUAAAGACUCGUCGUCGAUCUGCUGAGAUCAGGGACAUACUCCGUGAGCUGCUCUACGGGAGGGAACUCAGACAUGACAGCAGAAGCAAAAGAACCCCUUCACCUAAAGACUGAGCACACAUCAAACAAACGGCCGUUGUAAUGCACAAGCUAAACUUCUUCAGCGCUUCUCGUAGUCAAACCACAGCCAAACCGACCGCAGCAGGUUUUAGGUUGAGCCAUGGCUCACAUCACGCUCUCAGAAACGAAUGCUACGAAAGCUGUCACGCCACACAGAUGAUAACCUUAAAUAACCUUCUAAUAUGUAUCAUUUAUUUGCUAAUAUGAACAAACUGUGGUACCAAUAUGUACUUUUGAGGUACUAAUAUAGCUUAUUUAGGUACCAAUACCUACUUUUUGAAAGAGAUGGCUUUGUGUUUGCUUGUGUGUUUGCUUGUGUUUGUGCGUAUGUGUGUGCGUGUGUGUGUGUGUUUGAGAAUGCAAUAAGUCUGACGAUACAGUAGAUAGACUUUGACAUUUGCAUAAUUUGAUAAUUAAUAGAGAGAGAGAAAGAGAGAGAGAGACUAUAUAGACUAUAUAUAGAGACUAUCUGCAUUCUGACCAGUAUGGAGGUAUUGAACUUUCUAAAAUAGGCCAAACAUGUACAAAGCUUUCAAAAGAUUCCUAAUGUAAAUAUGUGACAGAUAUGUCAGAUAGAACCUUAUAAUUCCAUUAUAUAUGUAUAUAUAUGUAUAUAUGUAUAUGUAUAUGUAUAUAUAUGUAUAUGUAUAUAUGUAUGUAUAUAUGUAUAUGUAUAUAUAAACAUUAUAUAUAGGGAGGGUCAAACUCUGUCGGGGAGGAUUCACACACCAGCUUCAGUAGUAGUCUUAUUAGAUCAGAGUUGUCGCUGAACAACCGAAGAAAAUGUUUCACGCGCUCCUUUUUGUUCUUUUUGUGUCGUCUGAUUGGUGUGUUUGGCGAGUCGGUGUCGGAAGGAGAUUCUGUCACUCUCAGCACUUAUCUUACUGAAAUACAUAAAGACGACAAUAUUAUGUGGAAAUACGGAAAGUAUUUCAUAGCUGAAGUCUAUCCAAAAUAUGGACUCUUCUUUACACAUAAUGAUGUUCUUGACGGGAGAUUCAGAGACAGACUGAAGCUGGACAAUCAAACUGGAUCUCUGACCAUCAUGAACAUCUCAACUCAACACGCUGGACUCUAUGAAGUAAAUGGAGCAAAAGGAUUAUUUAAAUCAUUUAGUAUUUCGGUCAGUGGUGAGUAUUUGAUUGAUCAUUGACGUAUUCUUGUUUUAUGAAAGAGAAACAUCGGUUCAGUAAAAAUCAAGCUUAACCCAUGGCAUUUGUGGCAUAAAGUAAUAAAAAUAAAAAAAAG